GACGAACGCUGGCGGCGUGCCUAAUACAUGCAAGUAGGACGCAGUUGCGAACGGGUGAGUAACGCGUAGGUAACUACCUAUUAGAGGGGGAUAACUAUUGGAAACGAUAGCUAAUACCGCAUACUAGUAGAUGGACCUGCGUUGUAUUAGCUAGUAGGUAGGGUAAUGGCCUACCUAGGCAACGAUACAUAGCCGCCCGGAGAGGGUGACCGGCCCAACGGGGACGGAGACAAGGGCCAGACUCCUACGGGAGGCAGCAGUAGGGAAUCUUCGGCAAUGGGGGGAAACCUGACCGAGCAACGCCGCGUGAGUGAAGAAGGUUUUCGGAUCGUAAAACUCUGUUGUUAGAGAAGCGGUAUCUAACCAGAAAGCCACGGCUAACUACGUGCCAGCAGCCGCGGUAAUAC
This 407-nucleotide ribosomal RNA is filed under the name uncultured bacterium. RNAcentral describes it as "partial 16S ribosomal RNA". It matches the Rfam family "Bacterial small subunit ribosomal RNA", at positions 28 to 526 of the family's 1533-position model. The record is from RNAcentral.